AGAGAUGUAGUUUAAUGGUAGAAUAUCGGUCUCCAAAACCGUUGAUCUAGGUUCGAUUCCUAGCAUCUCUG
Non-coding RNA from Polyrhizophydium stewartii, 71 nucleotides. The record is from the annotation of a GenBank genome assembly. NCBI's taxonomy places the organism in Eukaryota, Fungi, Chytridiomycota, Chytridiomycetes, Rhizophydiales.